CCUGCAACGAGGAGACCCACCCAGCGGGGUUAGAGGACACAGUGCGGGAGGGGGAGGGGCGGGGGCGUGCCCGCCCUGGAUCCUCUGGCCCCGCCCGCGGGAAGCCUGGGAAAUCUGGAGCAAGUUCUAGACUCUCUUUCUCCGUGUGGUCCCGGAUAAGUCCCUGCUCCCAGCCGGGUCCAUUUCCUGUCUGUUACCACUGCCGAGAUGGAUGGAGAGAAUCGGACUCAGAAUGAGUGACACUGCGACUCGGUGGCAAAGAAAGGCACCUGGGUCGGCCCCCCUGCUGGAGAAGAGGCAACCCGGGGCUGGGAGAUCCCCCACCAUCCCCUUCAAGCCCCUCCGUACAGAAAGGCGCAGGGGCUGGAGAGGAGACCCCUAAGGGGCGCAGCCAGGCUCCUGUGCAGAAGGAAGAGUGAGUGGCCAAGGGCCAGACUCGGUAGCCCGGCCAGCUCAGCAAUAUCAAGACUGACCGCACAGGCUAACUGGUGUAAGUGGUUCCUUCUGCUACAAACUUGAACCCCUUUCCUUGGGGCCUGCAGAAGAUUCUAGCCUCCUUCUCUUCCCUUUAGCACCCCAUCUGCAGGCAUGGGGAAUGUGUGUGUGGAGGGGGAUGGGAAUUACCCAGCCCCCACCUGACUACCCUGCACAGAACCACCCUCCACCCACUAACCCAAGCAGGCGCCCUCUCGGGCAGCCGGUCUCAAAUCUUGGCGACUUUUCAGAGCUCUCUAGAGCAGAGGAUGACUCUGCCCUGGCCCAGUGACUGGGGACAGCUGCAGGGGGGGAAGGGACAGGAGGCUCUCUGGGGUGAAGGAGGGGGGAAGGGACAGCAGGCUGGGUGUCAUCAAAGUCAACACCCCACCAGUUUGCCACACCCUUCUCUCUCCCGGUAUCGGAGUGCUGCAGACUGUCAAACCCUGGCGGAAAUAACUGUGCUGUCAGACCCCGGAGGAACUCAGAUAAUUCUUAGGCCAGGAAGGGCCUUUAGGGGCCAUGGCGCCCACCCCCAUUUUACAGACGAGGCCACUGAGGCACAGCAAAGAGAAGGUACUCGGUCAAAGCCACACCCCAGGGACUAAAACUCAGAUCUUCAUCUACCCCCCCUCUCCCCCAGCUGUCUGCCCCCCCACCAUCCCUGGGCAUUGGGACGGGAUCCCCACACUCACACAAGCCAUGACUGAGGACCAGAGGAUGUUCCCGCGGAAUGCCUGCCACACCAGCUGUCUCAAGACUCAAGGGGAGAGGUGGGAUCCUGGGCCGCUCCCACCCUUUUAACGGGACCGGGCUCCGGUCAAGGGUCCCCCGUCCUGGGACUCCUCCUCCCUUGUUGCCCUGCAGUGGAGGCAGAGAACUCUGUGGAAUUCCUCCAUCCUACAGGCUGGACUUUGGCCGCUGUGGUGAGAUUCGAGCUCCGUACCCAAGGACAGGGGAUCCAGACCAGCAUGGCCCUUCCCAGCCUGCCCACUCCUGCCUGCCCUGCCCACGGGAAGGCUGUGCCUCCUCCUCCAGUGGGCAGUGGCUGGGAGGGCUGCCAGGCCCACGGAAACACCAUCCACACCCCUCAGCCAACCUGGCUGGCCCAGCCAGGGAUGGUGGGGCUGAUCAGAGCCAGCUCCAGAGUCCUACAAGUCAGAGCGGGAAUGGGCCCCAGAGAUUCUGCACCUGACCCACUCCCUCAUUUAAUGAUGCAGAAACCACCCUAAGAGGCUGGCCACUUGGCCAAGGUCACACAGGGAGCCAGGGCUGACCUGCUUUCCAUCUCCUGAGCCAAGGAGAGAAGAACACUGUGGUCCUGGGAUAUCUGGACCUCAAAAAAAAAAAAAAAAAAAAAAAUUUUUUUUUUUCCACUUGCUCCAUGAAG
This is a long non-coding RNA of Mustela erminea (ermine), 1864 nucleotides long. RefSeq lists it as uncharacterized. The transcript is spliced from 3 exons. The record is from RefSeq and is a predicted model, not a curated record. Lineage: Eukaryota; Metazoa; Chordata; Mammalia; Carnivora; Mustelidae.